CGGGCUUUCGCAGCAUAAAAACAUGUGUGGUGUUAAGUGGUUGUUAGUAGUACAUUAAAUUCUUUGAAAUGUUUUAAGACAUUCGAAGGAACAGCUUUUUAUAAUUUUGUCUUAAAGAGAAAACAAUAGUUUGGAAUGUCACGUUUUGCCAAAUCAACGCACUAAAACUUUUCAAGAGUGGCGCAUCUUUGCACUUCUAUCAUUCACCACUCAUAUCAUAAUGGACACACAGAUUCCCAC
Molecule: long non-coding RNA, 240 nt
Filed under: Vigna radiata
Lineage: Eukaryota; Viridiplantae; Streptophyta; Magnoliopsida; Fabales; Fabaceae
Description: long non-coding RNA (VRAD_LNC003783)
Source: RNAcentral